AAACCAAGAGGAAGGACCAGUGUAAGACCACCAGUGUAGGAGCCCAUCACAGCCCAGUAAAAUACAGGGGUAAAGCUUAUCCUUACACAUCACAGAAGGGAGAAAUGGAGAUAUAGGAUGAGGACCUGAACCCCUCCCUCUUAACUGAUGAAUUCCACAUUACAUAGUCUAAAAACUAAGAUUUCAGCUAACAGACGCUUCAGGCUUUCUUCUUCCAGGAAAAUAUCAUGAUCCUGUUAUAUAGCCGAAGUGUCCAGCUAGACAAAGGCAGCCUUUUCAACUGUAUGUCAUUAGCACCCCUUUCAAAGAGGCUUUUCGAAAUGUGCCACCUUAUGUCUCAAAGGUCUGCUCUGCCCCCAUCUAUGGGCUGACACCAUGCCUCUUCUUCCCUGGUCCCCUCACCCUGCUGAUCACAGGCCAACCUAGGAAGAGCUCAAAGGGACUCAUGGGGACACAGCUGCAGGAGAAAGCCUGUAAUUCAGAUGAUUAAGUAGGCGUCCCCACCUCCUGGCUUGUGCGCACUCUUCCUCCUUCCUGUAAUAGAGUUUUUAGAAAUGGUGAAAUUUCAAAAUUCCAAGGCUGAGAUCUUUUUUUUUUUCUUCAGAGGGCUCUGUAAAAAUUAUUCUUAAUUUAACAUACUUAUAAAUAGAACAACGAGUCAACUGUAUUUAGAAGUUUAAGAAAAGAUUAGAUUUUAUAAUCUGCCAUUUUAAUACAUUAAAUAUUAACUUUAAAAAACAAAGUAAACCUGGGAGUAGUCUCUCUGUGCGGAAAAACACUCUCAAAGGUGCCAAAAAAUUUACGUCUUUAUUUAAUAUGUAUGACUCCCUCUGGGCCACUAUCAGUAAAGUGAUAGUUUGGUAAAUUGUUUUAUAGCUACUGCCAGACAUGAGUAAUAAGUGGUAAUUAUGAAGGAUGGGUAAAAGGGGGAAUGUGCUUUUGUAUAAGGUAAUGCAGAAACGGUUCUCAAGGAGACAGUGAGGCGUUUUGAUUGAAAAUUUGGAUUUCAAAAUUGGUGACCUCCAUCCAAACCUUAACUUGCCAUCAGCUCCUGCUUUGGGUAAAUCCCUGAAGCUCUCUGUAUUCCCUGGACACCCAUGACAGAGCACCACAGCCUGGGUGGCGUGAAAGAAGAAAAUGUAUUGUCUCACUGUUCUGGAGAAGAAAGCAUUCUCAUCUCUUCCUAGCUUCCGGUGGUCUGCCAGCGAUCUUGACAUUCCUUGGCUCAAAGAUGCAACACUGUAAUCCUCCAUCUUCACGUGGCAGUCUCCUAUGUCUCUGUCUUUGCAUGGCCGUCUUAUAAAGACUCUAGUCCUGGUGGAUCAGGGACCUUCCCUACACCAGUAUGACUUAGCAACUCAUUGCAUCGGCAAUGACCCUAUUCCCCAAUACAGACACAUUCUGAGACAACCUCAGGAGGUUAAGCUUUCAACAUAUGAAUUUUGGGGGGAAAUAAUUCAACCAGUGGCACUCUCCGAGGGAAGUUACUGCCUAGCUCAAAGGUUUGCACAAGGAAAAAUUAGGGUACAGGUGCCAUGCACAAGGCAUACCAGCUGACAUAGAAGAUAUACACCAUAAAUGGUAAUUAGUAUAGGAAUGAGUCAAUAUGAAGUCAUUGCAACUUUGUAAGGUACAAAUUACAAAUUCAAAAAUUAUAAUGUAUCUUCAUGGAGAAAUUGUGGAAGAUGUCUUCUUUUAAACAUGCAUGGAGUUCUCCUGUGGCGCAAUCGGUUAAGGAUCCAGCACUGUCACUGCAGCAUCUUGGGUUGUCGCUGUGGUGCAGGUUCAGUCCCUGGUCCAGGAACUUCCACACGCCAUAGGCAUGGCCAAAACAUAAAUAAAUAAAAAAUAAAAACGCAUUGAAGAUUACUCAUGUUAGAGCUGAACUUUGUUUAUCGCAAUGACCAUCAAUAGUAUGUCAGCAUAGAAUCUAUCCAAAAAUUAGAAGAUGGCUGUGCAAAAAAAUGACAGCAAUUCCCAAAAAGCAGCAGUGGAUGGUGCAAACUCACUGCUUUGGGGCUGGGGAUUUAAAAUGGUUGCUUCCAACUUUGGGUUCUUUUCAAGGCUAGUUAUCUGGUCAAUGAAUUAGGGAAGCCCUUCUCUUGCACUUAAGACUUUCAAACUUUGUUUAUUAUAAGUAGCUCUGCCCUCGUCAUUAAGGUAUUUCUCACCAGGUGUCCAGCGGUGGAAUGGAGAGGAAAUAACAGGAAGUGACAUCACUGAAUUUUGAAAUAUAUGUGCGUUGUGGAGGAUUUCCUGUUUCAGUUACCAUGAAAAAGUUGUUAAGGAAUGUUAAGGACUGAAUGUUUGUGUUCACCCAAAGUUCAGAUACGGAAGCCCUAACCUACAGUGUGAUGGUGUUUGGAGGUGGGGCCUUUGACAGGUGACUGGGUUUAGAUGAGGUCAUGAGGAUGGGACCCUGAUGAUGGUGUUAGUGCCCUUAUGAGAAGAGGAAGAGGCCAAGUGCUCUCUCUCUGCUCUGUGAGGGUACCAUGAGAAGAUACCUGUGUACAAGCCAGGUAGAGAGCCCUGAAUCUUCUGGUACCUUGAUCUUGAACUUCCAGCCUCCAGAACUGUGAGAAAUAAAUGUCUUUUGUUUAAGCCACCCAAUCUGCGAUAUUUUUGUUUUUUUAUUUUUAAUGACAGCCUGAGUCGACUAAGACAAAGAGGAAUAGGAUAAAGUAUUCUUGCUAAAGCAAGAUGGGGUCUUAGAGAAUAUCUAAUUUAGGGCUUACUUUAGUGAUAAUAAAAUUUGAGACCCCAAAGUGGAGUGUUCUUCUCAUGGUUACAUGAUUUGUUAGGAAGCAUGUUAGGGGAGUUCCUGUCGUGGCUCAGCAGUUAAGGAGCCCAGCCAGUAUCCAUGAGGACAAAGGUUCAAACCCUGGCCUUGCUUAGUGGGUUAAGGAUCCAGCCUUGCUGUAAGCUGUGGUGUGUAGGUCUCAGACACGGCUUGGAUCCCAUGUUGCUGUGGCUGUGGUACAGUCCAGGCGGCUACAGCUCCAAUUCGACCCCUAGCCUGGGAACCUCCAUAUGCCUCAGGUGUGGCCCUAAA
This 3052-nucleotide long non-coding RNA is filed under the name Sus scrofa (pig). RNAcentral describes it as "lncRNA (ENSSSCG00000057138.1)". The record is from RNAcentral. Lineage: Eukaryota; Metazoa; Chordata; Mammalia; Artiodactyla; Suidae.